AGCGAACGCUGGCGGCAGGCCUAACACAUGCAAGUCGAACGAACUCUUCGGAGUUAGUGGCGGACGGGUGAGUAACACGUGGGAACGUGCCUUUAGGUUCGGAAUAACUCAGGGAAACUUGUGCUAAUACCCGAAUGUGCCCUUCGGGGGAAAGAUUAUCGCCUUUAGAGCGGCCCGCGUCUGAUUAGCUAGUUGGUGAGGUAAAGGCUCACCAAGGCGACGAUCAGUAGCUGGUCUGAGAGGAUGAUCAGCCACAUUGGGACUGAGACACGGCCCAAACUCCUACGGGAGGCAGCAGUGGGGAAUCUUGCGCAAUGGGCGAAAGCCUGACGCAGCCAUGCCGCGUGAAUGAUGAAGGUCUUAGGAUUGUAAAAUUCUUUCACCGGGGACGAUAAUGACGGUACCCGGAGAAG
This 413-nucleotide ribosomal RNA is filed under the name uncultured bacterium. Its description in RNAcentral is "bacterial SSU rRNA". It matches the Rfam family "Bacterial small subunit ribosomal RNA", at positions 29 to 487 of the family's 1533-position model. The record is from RNAcentral.